AGAGUUUGAUCAUGGCUCAGGAUAAACGCUGGCGGCGUGCCUAACACAUGCAAGUCGAACGUCCUCUGGCUUCGGCCGGAGGGAGUGGCGGACGGGUGAGGAACACGUGGGGACCUACCCUUCAGUGAGGAAUACCACCGGGAAAUCGGUGACAAGACCGCAUACGCUUGGGCAACCAAGCAAAGUCGCUUUCGGGUGACGCCCCAAGAUGAGUCCGCGGCUGAUUAGCCAGUUGGUGGGGUAAUGGCCUACCAAAGCAACGAUCAGUAGCUGGUCUGAGAAGACGAGCAGCCACACUGGGAUUGAGAACGGCCCAGACUCCUACGGGGGGCAGCAGUGAGGAAUUUUCGGCAAUGGACGCAAGUCUGACCGAGCAACGCCGCGUGCAGGAUGACGGCCUUCGGGUUGUAAACUGCUUUUCUCUGUGACGAGCAAGGACGGUAGCAGAGGAAUAAGUCCCGGCUAACUACGUGCCAGCAGCCGCGGUAAUACGUAGGGGGCAAGCGUUGUCCGGAUUUAUUGGGCGUAAAGGGCAUGCAGGCGGUCGUGUGCGUAUGAGAUGACAAUGUGUGGCUUAUCUGCACAA
RNAcentral lists this ribosomal RNA (586 nucleotides) under uncultured bacterium. RNAcentral describes it as "bacterial SSU rRNA". It matches the Rfam family "Bacterial small subunit ribosomal RNA", at positions 8 to 620 of the family's 1533-position model. The record is from RNAcentral.